ACGGGUGAGAAACGCGUGAGAAUUUACCCUUUAGUGAGGAAUACCCUCGAGAAAUCGAGGUUAAUACUGCAUACGUCCCUUCGGGGAGAAAGGUGGCCUCUUGCUGCCGCUAAAGGAUAAGCUUGCGUACUAUUAGCUAGUUGGUGAGGUAAAGGCUCACCAAGGCGAUGAUGGUUAGCCGGCCUGAGAGGGUGUACGGCCACACUGGAACUUAGACACGGUCCAGACUCCUACGGGAGGCAGCAGUGGGGAAUAUUGCGCAAUGGGCGAAAGCCUGACGCAGCGACGCCGCGUGGAGGAUGAAGGCCUUCGGGUCGUAAACUUCUGUUAAGUGGGAAGAAAUACCUAUCUCUAAUACAGAUAGGGGAUGACGGUACCAUUAGAGAAAGCACCGGCUAACUUCGUGCCAGCAGCCGCGGUAAUACGAAGGGUGCGAGCGUUAUUCGGAAUCAUUGGGCGUAAAGGGUGUGUAGAUGGUAUGCUAAGUCCGUUGUUAAAUGCUCCAGCCUAACUGGAGACCUGCGAUGGAAACUGGCGUGCUAGAGGGUGGAAGAGAGAAGUGGAAUUCUCGGA
RNAcentral lists this ribosomal RNA (573 nucleotides) under uncultured bacterium. Its description in RNAcentral is "bacterial SSU rRNA". It matches the Rfam family "Bacterial small subunit ribosomal RNA", at positions 102 to 674 of the family's 1533-position model. The record is from RNAcentral.